GAUGAAGAACGUAGCGAAAUGCGAUAAGUAGUGUGAAUUGCAGAAUUCAGUGAAUCAUCGAAUCUUUGAACGCACAUUGCGCCCUUUGGUAUUCCUUAGGGCAUGCCUGUUCGAGCGUCAUUUGAAACCUCAAGCUCAGCUUGGUGUUGGGUGUCUGUCCCCGCCUCCGCUGGGACUCGCCUCAAAAUCAUUGGCGGCCGGUACGUUGGCUUCGAGCGCAGCAGAAACGCGAACUCGAGGCCCGGCGGAUCGGCGACCAGAAGUCUCUUCUUCACAGUUUGACCUCGGAUCAGGUAGGGAUACCCGCUGAACUUAAGCAUAUCAAUAAGCGGAGGA
This 336-nucleotide unclassified non-coding RNA is filed under the name soil metagenome. RNAcentral describes it as "partial contains 5.8S ribosomal RNA, internal transcribed spacer 2, and large subunit ribosomal RNA". The stretch from base 1 to 120 matches the Rfam family "5.8S ribosomal RNA", at positions 35 to 154 of the family's 154-position model. The record is from RNAcentral.